UACGUAGGGAGCAAGCGUUGUCCGGAAUCAUUGGGCGUAAAGCGCGCGUAGGUGGCCCGGUAAGUCCGCUCUGAAAGUCACAGGCUCAACCUGUGAAAGCGGGUGGAUACUGCCGGGCUAGAGUCCGGAAGAGGCAAGUGGAAUUCCUGGUGUAGCGGUGGAAUGCGCAGAUAUCAGGAGGAACACCAACGGCGAAGGCAGCUCGCUGGGACGGUACUGACACUGAGGCGCGAAAGCGUGGGGAGCGAACAGG
Molecule: ribosomal RNA, 253 nt
Filed under: uncultured bacterium
Lineage: Bacteria
Description: partial 16S ribosomal RNA
Rfam family: Bacterial small subunit ribosomal RNA
Source: RNAcentral